UCUGGACACUGUGGGGCACCUGUGGUGUGCCAGGCAGACUGCGAGGCACUGAGGAAUAGAAGUGAGAUGGGACAUAUAAUCCCCAUGUUCACAGAGCAACUGGCAGCCCAGUGGAAGAGACGGCGAUAUGGAUCAACACAGCAUAGAAGAAAGAGUUCUGGGGGAGCUCCAGGCUACCAGGAGAACUCAAGCUGAGAAGAGGCACUCUCUAUUUGCUGUGCAACCGAGAGACACGGCGAUGAGAGGCGCCCACGCUUCCACCAGAAAAUGUACAAGACAUCUUGAAAGCCAAUGAAUGGACUUCUAAAACCUAGGAGGCAAAGUGUAUUCUAGAGAAGAGCGACACCAGUUUUCCAACCAGACAGAGCAAGCGAGACCUCUGACAAGUUGUGUGACCUCAGGCAACUUCCCUGAGCUUUCUGAACUUCCGGUUCUUCAUCUGUAGAAUGGGGAUACAUGUGGUGCCUUGCAGAGCCUGCUGUGGGAUCAAGUAAGUGUGUUAAAAUAUUUAAAAAUGGCAGGUCCCUAACUGGGGAUAAGUAACUGAGAGUCUGUCCUGUAUUCUAACUUUUCGUUAAAGGUCAAGGAGCCUGGAUGUGGAGGAGACUGCCGUCAGAACCGGCUCCUCAGGCAGUGACAGCUACUCCUGAGCUGUCAGCCCAGGAGCAGGAGCGAUUACUUGAGCUAUUCAUUAGCAUAAACAUUUCACAACAAUGUCAUUUUAAUCCUCCCCAAAGAGCACCUGUUAUCUGUCCCACAAAUUGGACCCUCCACAGCAUAAAUCAAGAACACUUCCCAUGUGUUUUAAAUGAAGAAGUGCCUUUCCCCCCAAUAAGGCAAAUAUUAAACAAAGACAAAGCAAAAAAACCCAGACAGAGAACAGAAACACCCCACACUGUGACUUUAAUAGCUGAUCAACUGCAGAUCAAGAGCUUUAAUUUCUCCUUGACUCUGGGUUCACAGGAGACACUGAGUCCCCACUCUCUUAGAGAUGAUUGCUUUGGUGAAAAAACAAAGGCUCUCUUCAUCAGACCUUGGCCAGUCCACACCCACAAACUUGGGAGUCUCUCCCAGAGAAAUAUCCAGAUUGUGAAGCAUGCCACCACACGGCUAGAUGACCCCACAUACCAGAGCUGCACAGAGCCCAUCACCCCAACCCAUGGCCAAGUUGCACUGAGCAAAACAUGAUUCUGUUUCCCUGAGUAGACUGUGAGUUAUUCAAGGGCACAAGGCAUGCCCUGUCCAUUCCAGGAUCCAGGUCCAGCCCAGGUACUCAGUACAAUUAGCUGAAUUAAUACCCUUGGCAAACAAGAGGUGGUAAGGGUACACUCUUCCUUUCCUGCAGGCUUGGCAUUCACCAUGCAGUUUCCUCUGCUGACCAUUACAUGAAGAUCACAAACUUGUAACUCUACCAGACCCAGAUAACGGCCACCUUCUCUUUGAGUCCGCCUCUGGUAUUUUGAAGGAAGACAAGAUAAUUUAUUAUAAUCCACACUUCUUCCAGUUCCACCUAGAACUUUUUCUACAUCACAUGCAUGGCCCAUUUUAUAUGACAGCAUCUGUGCUCUCAGCUGAUGACAAUGCAGACACUGGGGUUGUGUAUGACUGGGAGAGGAUGGGGACAUAGAGAUAUCAUGUCCUUCGGAGCCAAACAGGUGAGAUUUGAAUCAGGCUCUGCCAGAUAAUAGCUGAAUGGCCUUUAGUAAGUGACUUAGCUUCUCCAUAAAAUUCUAUGCUAUAAUACUAUGUAUUUCACGUGUGUGUACUAAGUCGCUUCGGUCCUGUCUGACUCUGUGCAACUCCUUGGACUGUGGCCUGCCAGUCUCCUCUGCCUAUGGGAUUCUCCAGCAAGAAUACUGGAGUGGGUUACCAUUUCCUUCUCCAAAGGCUGCUGCUAAGUCACUUCAGUCGUGUCCGACUCUGUGCGACCCCAUAGACGGCAGCCCAUCAGGCUUCUCCGAAGGCAGCCACCUGCAAAUCAAAGACAGAGGCCUCAGAAGCCACCCCAGCUUGAUCCCACACUUCCAGUCCCCAGAACUGCGAGAAAAUCAAUAUGUAUUGUUUAAGUCACCCAGUCUGUGAUUGCAGCCCCAGUGGACUAACGCAAUGGUCCACGGUUCCAUCUGACAUGGCGUCAGGGAACCACUGAGCGAAGCCUCCUGCCGUGGCCAGGCCCGCUUGCCUGAGCUGUCUCACAAC
This is a long non-coding RNA of Dama dama (fallow deer), 2199 nucleotides long. RefSeq lists it as uncharacterized. The transcript has 3 exons. The record is from RefSeq and is a predicted model, not a curated record. Lineage: Eukaryota; Metazoa; Chordata; Mammalia; Artiodactyla; Cervidae.